RNAcentral lists this transfer RNA (75 nucleotides) under Desulfotomaculum sp. RNAcentral describes it as "tRNA-Met". It matches the Rfam family "tRNA". Rfam says of the family: Transfer RNA (tRNA) molecules are approximately 80 nucleotides in length. Their secondary structure includes four short double-helical elements and three loops (D, anti-codon, and T loops). RNAcentral also lists the same sequence under 2 other names. Lineage: Bacteria; Bacillati; Bacillota; Clostridia; Eubacteriales; Desulfotomaculaceae. The record is from RNAcentral.
GGGCCCAUAGCUCAACGGUGGAGCAUCCGGCUCAUAACCGGCUGGUUCUAGGUUCGAAUCCUAGUGGGCCCACCA